GUUGUGGCGUGGCACGCAAGCUGGUCGGGCUAGCUUGUUCUCUUGAGCGGUGAACAUAUUCCAAGCAAGUGGUGUGGCUCAUUGCGGCUUGGUGCGAGUAGCUUACGGUUGAGCUAAGGUUCUACUCCAGUGCAGUGGAGCUAGUGUCUCUUUCCCUUGUCUUCGUGGGUUCUACUACUACAGGGCAAGCGUGGGUCCUGUGUGGGUCAAAGGUGGUGGUUAUGACCUCUGGUCCAUCCUUUGGCUUACUCUACUGCUAAGAUAGCUGCACUUUGUGAGCCGAGACUGCAUGUUUCACCGGCAAAGACGAGAUUGGCCACCAGGCGAGUGUCCGCUCUCACAAGGGGCUGCUGUUUUGUCUUGUCCAUUUUGUCUUGUUUUUGUGACUUGUUUAAUCAACCUCUCCAUACUCUGGUCAUCCUAGCGUGGGCUGCUAGCUUUGGUUGCUGGGGCUUGGUUGUUUACCUCACGCUUGCUGCUUAUCUACAGCUUGCUUUGUUACAAUGAUUGUUAUGUACUGCUGGUGAGUUUUGUAUCAUCUGUGUGUCGCUUUCUUUUCUUUUGUAUUACUCCAUAUUUUGUGUGUGUGUGUGUGUGUGUGUGGU
Molecule: long non-coding RNA, 605 nt
Organism: Alosa sapidissima (American shad)
Lineage: Eukaryota; Metazoa; Chordata; Actinopteri; Clupeiformes; Clupeidae
Exons: 4
Source: RefSeq, a predicted model, not a curated record